CCUACGGGGGGCAGCAGUAGGGAAUCUUCCACAAUGGGCGAAAGCCUGAUGGAGCAACGCCGCGUGUGUGAUGAAGGGUUUCGGCUCGUAAAACACUGUUGUAAGAGAAGAAUGACAUUGAGAGUAACUGCUCAAUGUGUGACGGUAUCUUACCAGAAAGGAACGGCUAAAUACGUGCCAGCAGCCGCGGUAAUACGUAUGUUCCAAGCGUUAUCCGGAUUUAUUGGGCGUAAAGCGAGCGCAGACGGUUAUUUAAGUCUGAAGUGAAAUCCCUCAGCUCAACUGAGGAAUUGCUUUGGAAACUGGAUGACUUGAGUGCAGUAGAGGAAAGUGGAACUCCAUGUGUAGCGGUGAAAUGCGUAGAUAUAUGGAAGAACACCAGUGGCGAAGGCGGCUUUCUGGACUGUAACUGACGUUGAGGCUCGAAAGUGUGGGUAGC
Molecule: ribosomal RNA, 439 nt
Filed under: uncultured Eubacterium sp.
Lineage: Bacteria; Bacillati; Bacillota; Clostridia; Eubacteriales; Eubacteriaceae
Description: bacterial SSU rRNA
Rfam family: Bacterial small subunit ribosomal RNA
Source: RNAcentral